UGGGGAAUAUUGCGCAAUGGGGGAAACCCUGACGCAGCAACGCCGCGUGAAGGAUGAAGGUUUUCGGAUUGUAAACUUCUUUGAUGAGGGACGAACACAAUGACGGUACCUCAAAAACAAGCCACGGCUAACUACGUGCCAGCAGCCGCGGUAAUACGUAGGUGGCAAGCGUUGUCCGGAAUUACUGGGUGUAAAGGGCGUGUAGGCGGGGAUGCAAGUGAGAUGUGAAAUUCCGGGGCUCAACCCCGGCGCUGCAUCUGAAACUGUAUCUCUUGAGUGCUGGAGAGGAAAGCGGAAUUCCUAGUGUAGCGGUGAAAUGCGUAGAUAUUAGGAGGAACACCGGUGGCGAAGGCGGCUUUCUGGCUGAAAACUGACGCUGAUGCGCGAAAGCGUGGGGAGCAAACAGG
RNAcentral lists this ribosomal RNA (407 nucleotides) under uncultured prokaryote. RNAcentral describes it as "bacterial SSU rRNA". It matches the Rfam family "Bacterial small subunit ribosomal RNA", at positions 355 to 776 of the family's 1533-position model. The record is from RNAcentral.